GUACUGGUACUGGUGGUGUGGUGCGCAUUUUAGACUUUAGAGUUUGAUGAAAUUACCUGCCAAUGCCAUCGAAAUAACCCCAAGUCCCCAUCCGGCACACCGUAGACCCCCACCUCACUUUUCACUUUUGUUUUUCUUCCUUCUCUGUUUUCUUUGCUCGUAUCCAUGGCCGCGCCUCAACCCUAGCUACCGGCGCUGCUACUCUCUACCUCGGCGAGGCCAAACCUCAUAGGCCGCUCCAUCCUCAAGCCCGGCCUUCCUCAACCCCUAAAGAGCCGCCGGCCCCUGCACCAGCAGGACCAAGACGCCGCCGCCUCCGCCCUUACUGAAGCAGAGGUCGUCGUGGCCGCCACCCCCUCCAGAAGGACUCGCUGCCGCUCCCGCGCCCUGUACUUCAGCAGGACAUUUCUGCCUCCACCGCCCCUUUUCUCCGCUGAGGCGACAAGACAACCAAGGUGCGAUUGCAAGACUGAUAAGAAAUAAUUGUGUCAAAUUCUGUGGGUUUCAUAAGAAGUACUAAUGGCGUGCUGAUCCUCUGGGAGAAUGGAAGGGAAUAACCUACCCUCUGGAAACUUUAUGCAAGAGACAGUUCGUAAACCAAUGCAAAUGCGUUCUCUAAACUCUGGAAAUCAGGGCUUCAACUCUCAGAUACCUGUUUUGUUCCCCAUGCCUAUGAACCAGGUCACAGACUCCGAUCACUUGUCAGAACUUCAGUUUGGAGAACGCGGGAAGAGUGAUCACCAUCACCACCAUCAAACGAAGGACUCCAUGAGUGAUGAUGAGGAGCAUGAUCUGAAUGAGGAUGCCACUGAUGGCCACAUUGGCAAGGGAAAGAAGGGAUCUGCAUGGCAGCGGAUGAAGUGGACUGAUUUAAUGGUUAAGCUUUUAAUUACUGCAGCGUCUUACACCGGGGAGGAUCCAGGAGCUGAUUUAGGAGGUGGGAGGAAGAGCUGUGCAAUGAUGCAGAAGAAAGGCAAGUGGAAGGCAAUAUCAAAGGUCAUGGGCGAGCGAGGCUGCAAUGUGUCACCACAGCAGUGCGAGGAUAAGUUCAAUGACCUCAAUAAGAGAUACAAAAGGCUUACGGAUAUCCUUGGUCGGGGCACAACUUGCAGGGUAGUGGCAAAUCCAGCACUUCUGGAUCACAUGGAUAAUCUGUCUGACAAGUUGAAAGAUGAUGCAAGGAAGAUAUUAAGCUCAAGACACUUGUUCUAUGAGGAGAUGUGCUCCUACCAUAAUAACAACAGGGUUAGUUUGCCUGAAGAUCCUGCACUGCAGCGUUCGCUGCAGCUCGCUCUUAGGUGUAAGGAAGAAAAUGAUCUGAAGAGAGGAGUAAGUGGAGACGCUGAUGAAGAUGACCAAACUGCAGAGUCUGAUUCUGAAGAGGAUAAUGAUGAGGAGCAUCAUCCGACACAUAGCAGCAAGGGGGCCCUACCCAUGCAUAAAAGGAUGCGGCAUAUGACGGAUCAUGAGGAUGUAGGUUUUGGCAACUCUUCUAGCUCACAUGACUGUAGCGAGAGGACUAAUCUGCACGGCAUUGCACUAGAUAUCAACAAAGUUUUUCUAGAUGGAACUAGCUCGGCUUUGGCACAAAAAGACUUGGCAUUACAAUUAGAACAGCUUGAGAAAUAUCGCUUCCAAAUUGAAAUUCAGGAACUGGAGCUUGCAGAACAACGCUUCAAAUGGGAGCAAUUCUGUAAAAAGAAGGACAGGGAACUUGAAAGGAUGGAAUUGGAGAGUGAACAGAUGAGGGUUGAGAAUAAGCGCCUGGCGCUGGAGGUAAGGCGCAAAGAGUUAGAGUUUGAACUCAAGGUGAAAGGAAAUGACAAUCAUUGAAGACAUUUACUCGGUUGGUCAAGACUGGCCUGUAAGAGGCCCACGCCAAGGAGUUGGCACGCCAAAUCGUUGGCGGACGUUUUCGCCGCCUCAGUCUCGCCCGCGCGUUGGCGCAAAUGUGAACGAGAGCGGGCGUAUUUCUGGGGACUUACGGUUGGCUCGCCAAUUUCAGGGUAGUGAACCAAUCGGUAGCCAUGGGAGCGCUGGCGUGCCAAUUAUUGGCGAGGCGCACAUCGGCCAUAAACCAAACAGCCCCUAAGUUGCUGACGGCUUCUGAUAUUAGCCUGGAAUGCUGCUACAUUGUCCGGCCAUGUACUUUGCUAGGUGUCGCAGGAAUUGGUGUAUUAAUUAUGACAACCAUGAGGUGCCUCUGUAAUUCUUUUGUUUUGGUUGUAUGUUCUUUGCUCCAGCGAGCAUGAUGUGUACAUGUGACUUGUAAGUUGUGUUGAAGGCUAGCUCACUGCAAAUACCUUAGAGGAGCCAUGCAUGUUGCAUGAGUGCUGUCCUAAAAUUCAGAUUGUUCAUCAAGAAUCUGUGCAAGUAAUUCAGUCUAAGCAUUUCUUUUCUUUU
Brachypodium distachyon (stiff brome) is the source of this 2403-nucleotide RNA transcript. RefSeq lists it as uncharacterized. The transcript has 4 exons. NCBI's taxonomy places the organism in Eukaryota, Viridiplantae, Streptophyta, Magnoliopsida, Poales, Poaceae. The record is from RefSeq and is a predicted model, not a curated record.